AGUUCAGAUUAUGGUUCAGAUUGAACGCUGGCGGGAUGCUUUACACAUGCAAGUCAACGGCAGCACGGACUUCGGUCUGGUGGCGAGUGGCGAACGGGUGAGUAAUGUAUCGGAACGUGCCUAGCAGUGGGGAUAACUACGCGUCGCAAAGCGUGGCUGGCUACCGCAUACGCCCUUCGUGCGCGCUGGGGACCUUCGGGCCUGCACGGCUAGGAGCGGGCCGGAUACCGGAUUAGCUAGCCAGGGUAACGGCUCACCGAAGACGAUCCGCAGCUGGUUUGAGAGGACGACCACCCACAUCUGGGACUGGAGAUUAUCGGCCCAGACUCCUACGGGAGGCAGCAGUGGGAAUUUUGACAAUGGGGAAACCCUGAUCCAGCCAUCCCGCGUGUGCGAUGCAGGCUUCCGGGUUGUAAAAAGCACUUUUGGCAGGAAAGAAACGGCACGGAUAAUACCCCGUGCAACUGACGGUACCUGCAGAAUAAAAUAUCCGGUUAACUGAUGAAGAAACGGCAUGCUGGUAAAUGGCGUUAAUCAAAUUACUGGGUGAAGGUGCGCAGGCGGUUCGGAAAGAAAGAUGUGAAAUCCCAGAGUCAACUUUGAACUGCAUUUUAACUACCGAGCUGAGUGGCCAGAGUGGAGAAUUCGCGGUAUAAAAUGUGUGACAGUAGAUAAAUACCAUGAAGAAGCAGCUCUGGAUAACACUGACGCCUGCGCAUUGAAAGCAGCAAACAGGAUUAGAUACCCUGCGUAGUCCACACCUCAAACGAUGUCAUUCAUUGUUAGCCUUCGCAACUUUGGUAGCGCAGCUAACGCGUGAAGUUGACCGCCUGGGGAGUACGGUCGCAAGAUUGCAACUCAAAGGAAUUGACGGGACCGGCAUGGGCGCGGUGAUGAUGUGGGGAUUAUCCAUAAUGCUAAAAACCUUACCUACCCUUGACAUGUCUGGAAUCCCGAAGAUUUGGCGUUCGCAAGAGAACCGAACACAGGUGCUGCAUGGCUGUCGUCAGCUCGUGUCGAGAUGUUGCUGUCUCAACGAGCGUGCAACCCUUGUCAUUAGUUGCUGCCAGAAAGGGCACUUUGCACUGGUGAUCGCCGAAAGAUAAACCCGAGGAAGGUACUGGGAUGACGCCGGAGUCCUCAUGGCCCUUAUGGGUAGGUCAGGACAUCGUCAUACAAUGCUACCGGGACAGAGGGUCGCCAACCCGCGAGGGGGAGCUAAUCCCAGAAACCCGAUCGUAGUCCGGAUCGCAAGCUCGUAACUGAUCGCCGCGGAAGUCGGAAUCGCUAGUAAUCGUGGAUCAGCAUGUCGCGGUGAAUACGUUCCCGGGUCUUGUACACACCGCCCGUCACACCAUGGGAGUGGGUUUGCCAGAAGUAGUUAGCCUAACCGUAAGGGAGGGCGAUUACCACGGUAGGAUUCAGAUCAGUGAAGUCGUAACAAGGUA
This 1448-nucleotide ribosomal RNA is filed under the name uncultured Bordetella sp. RNAcentral's name for it is "partial 16S-23S ribosomal RNA intergenic spacer". It matches the Rfam family "Bacterial small subunit ribosomal RNA". Lineage: Bacteria; Pseudomonadati; Pseudomonadota; Betaproteobacteria; Burkholderiales; Alcaligenaceae. The record is from RNAcentral.